GAAAGACAACAGGGAUUGCCCUAGUAACGGCGAGUGAAGCGGCAACAGCUCAAAUUUGAAAUCUGGCUUCGGCCCGAGUUGUAAUUUGCAGAGGAAGCUUUAGGCGCGGCACCUUCUGAGUCCCCUGGAACGGGGCGCCAUAGAGGGUGAGAGCCCCGUAUAGUUGGAUGCCUAGCCUGUGUAAAGCUCCUUCGACGAGUCGAGUAGUUUGGGAAUGCUGCUCAAAAUGGGAGGUAAAUUUCUUCUAAAGCUAAAUACCGGCCAGAGACCGAUAGCGCACAAGUAGAGUGAUCGAAAGAUGAAAAGCACUUUGAAAAGAGGGUUAAAUAGCACGUGAAAUUGUUGAAAGGGAAGCGCUUGUGACCAGACUUGCGCCGGGCGGAUCAUCCGGUGUUCUCACCGGUGCACUCCGCCCGGYUCAGGCCAGCAUCGGUUCUCGCGGGGGGAUAAAGGUCCUGGGAACGUAGCUCCUCCGGGAGUGUUAUAGCCCGGGGCGUAAUGCCCUCGCGGGGACCGAGGUUCGCGCAUCUGCAAGGAUGCUGGCGUAAUGGUCAUCAGCGACCCGUCUUGAAACACGGACCAAGGAGUCAAGGUUUUGCGCGAGUGUUUGGGUGUAAAACCCGCACGCGUAAUGARAGUGARCGUAKGUGAGAGCUUCGGCGCAUCAUCGACCGAUCCUGAUGUUUUCGGAUGGAUUUGAGUAGGAGCGUUAAGCCUUGGACCCGAAAGAUGGUGAACUAUGCUUGGAUAGGGUGAAGCCAGAGGAAACUCUGGUGGAGGCUCGCAGCGGUUCUGACGUGCAAAUCGAUCGUCAAAUCUGAGCAUGGGGGCGAAAGACUAAUCGAACCAUCUAGUAGCUGGUUACCGCCGAAGUUUCCCUCAGGAUAGCAGUGUUGUCUUCAGUUUUAUGAGGUAAAGCGAAUGAUUAGGGACUCGGGGGCGCUUUUUAGCCUUCAUCCAUUCUCAAACUUUAAAUAUGUAAGAAGCCCUUGUUACUUAAUUGAACGUGGGCAUUCGAAUGUACCAACACUAGUGGGCCAUUUUUGGUAAGCAGAACUGGCGAUGCGGGAUGAACCGAACGCGGGGUUAAGGUGCCGGAGUGGACGCUCAUCAGACACCACAAAAGGCGUUAGUACAUCUUGACAGCAGGACGGUGGCCAUGGAAGUCGGAAUCCGCUAAGGACUGUGUAACAACUCACCUGCCGAAUGUACUAGCCCUGAAAAUGGAUGGCGCUCAAGCGUCCCACCCAUACCCCGCCCUCAGGGUAGAAACGAUGCCCUGAGGAGUAGGCGGCCGUGGAGGUCAGUGACGAAGCCUAGGGCGGA
Molecule: ribosomal RNA, 1326 nt
Filed under: Chaetomium globosum
Lineage: Eukaryota; Fungi; Ascomycota; Sordariomycetes; Sordariales; Chaetomiaceae
Description: partial large subunit ribosomal RNA
Source: RNAcentral